Molecule: ribosomal RNA, 373 nt
Filed under: uncultured bacterium
Lineage: Bacteria
Description: bacterial SSU rRNA
Rfam family: Bacterial small subunit ribosomal RNA
Source: RNAcentral
GACGAACGCUGGCGGCGUGCUUAACACAUGCAAGUCGAACGAUGAAGCCUUUCGGGGUGGAUUAGUGGCGAACGGGUGAGUAACACGUGGGCAAUCUGCCCUGUACUUUGGGAUAAGCCUUGGAAACGAGGUCUAAUACCGGAUAUGAUGAGUCCUCGCAUGGGGGUUUGUUGAAAGUUCCGGCGGUACAGGAUGAGCCCGCGGCCUAUCAGCUUGUUGGUGGGGUAAUGGCCUACCAAGGCGACGACGGGUAGCCGGCCUGAGAGGGCGACCGGCCACACUGGGACUGAGACACGGCCCAGACUCCUACGGGAGGCAGCAGUGGGGAAGUAUUGCACAAUGGGCGAAAGCCUGAUGCAGCGACGCCGCGUGA